GGGCGGGUAGCUCAGCUGGCUAGAGCGACGGCCUUACAAGCCGUAGGUCACAGGUUCAAGUCCUGUUCCGCCUACCA
RNAcentral lists this transfer RNA (77 nucleotides) under Candidatus Poribacteria bacterium. RNAcentral describes it as "tRNA-Val". It matches the Rfam family "tRNA". From Rfam's summary of the family: Transfer RNA (tRNA) molecules are approximately 80 nucleotides in length. The record is from RNAcentral. Lineage: Bacteria; Candidatus Poribacteria.